Molecule: small nucleolar RNA, 131 nt
Filed under: Octodon degus (degu)
Lineage: Eukaryota; Metazoa; Chordata; Mammalia; Rodentia; Octodontidae
Description: Small nucleolar RNA SNORA61 (ENSODEG00000023279.1)
Rfam family: Small nucleolar RNA SNORA61
About the family: ACA61 is a member of the H/ACA class of snoRNA that guide the sites of modification of uridines to pseudouridines.
Source: Rfam by way of RNAcentral
ACCCUCCAGCUCUCUUUCCCAUCAGAUCUGAACACUGGUCUUGUUGGUUGUAAAGGAGGAAAAGAAAUGCUGAAGCUGGCCUCACAGCCUUGUAGUCUGGUAUGUAGCAUGUGGGCUAGUUUCAAACAAGG